This 83-nucleotide transfer RNA is filed under the name Streptomyces phage FlowerPower. RNAcentral describes it as "tRNA-Ser". Lineage: Duplodnaviria; Heunggongvirae; Uroviricota; Caudoviricetes. RNAcentral also lists the same sequence under 3 other names. The record is from RNAcentral.
GGAAGAUGUGGCCCGUGGGGGCCACCUCCCCUGCUAAGGGAGGCUGUCGUAACUGGCAGUGGUUCGACUCCACCUUCUUCCGC